GAACCUAGACACUAAAAGAACGGCAUACCCUUUUUACUCUCUCAAUCGACCUGCUAGGAGUAACAUUCAGAGCAUCAUCAUGUAGAAAAGCUUGAAAACUUUGUUGAGUUGAAGAGAAUUAAUAGAGCUAAUCAACCAAAUAGCUCUCUCGCUGCUGCUACUAAUUGUCGCCAGAGAUAAUUAAGAAAGCAUUAACCAAAGAAAACUCUUUUCUAAUUCUCGUGAAACUCGUCGCCGGCAACUCAUUUCUCAUUUAAAAUUUUCUAUUCAAAUUCUUAAUUCAUUUCUCUUUCCUUUUUGCCUUACUUCUUUCCUUAAUUCUUCCUCUCGUCAAGUCUGUAAUAAAUCGAUUUACCUCAAUUUGGAGCCGAGGUAUUCUUCCAUGAAGCGCACAGUCCGGUUGAAGGUCAUAAUUUUGCUGAUUAUUCGAUUUUGGUGAGGAUUCGUCCAUCGGGUUUCGAUUUCGGGUCCUGUUCGUGGCUUAAGUAUUUGGGAGGCAAUAUUUCAUAUUUCAUUUGGCAAAAUAUAUUUAAGUCCGAUGUUGGGGUCGGGUUCGAGGUGUCCGGGCAGAUUCGCGUUUCCGGUGUGGAUUUGAAGUGCUAUUGUCCAAUUUUAAUUCCUGCUUCAUUCGAGAACAACAUCGCUGCUGUUUAAAAUUGAAAGGUUCGGUCCCGCCUAAGGUUCAUUCUUCCCUCUGUUCUUCCUUAAUCCAAAUUUCUAUCAUGUGCUAGCCUACAUUUGUUUGUACACUAUAUUUUAAUUGUUGCUUUGUGAUUAGUUUUUGAUUUCCUUUUUUAGACUCAUUUGGCUUUAAUUAUUGACUAAGCUUUUAACUAAAGACAAUUUAUGAAUUUUGUCUAGUGAAUAUUAUGGGCGUGUAAGUUGAAAAGGGACUAUGGGUAGGGAGCUAAUUGAUUAAAUGGGAUUAGGCAAUGACGGUUCGAAUAGAAUUGAAAAAAUCGGGUUUAAGAGAGUUAGACAAAAGAUGGCAUGUUUUUAUUGUUAUUUUUGUUAUUACUAGACACUCAUUGAAUCGCUAGUAACAUGUUUAGGCUGGAAACACUCGGGUACGCAAGCCUUAGGAUUUUGUUAGUUUGAAAGUGAGAGGUUGUCCCUUAGUUAAAUUUAUCCGGGGAAUGCCACAUGAAGUUUGUAUAUAUUAUUAUCCGAGGUAAGCCUCGAAGUAUUUGUAUUUGAAGGCCGAAGACGGAACGGUUCGAGGAAGCGUAGAAUAGAACUUUAAUAAUUUCUUUUAUUUAGUUUUAUCUUUUUUGGUGGGGAUGACCUCGAGCCUCUUGUGUGUUUAUUUUUCUUUUUCUAUAUUUUUUGCCUCAAUUUGAAUAUUUUAAAAGGCAACAUGAUCAAGUACGCAACCGCACUAGUUGCGGGAAUUGGGGAGUGCCUAACAUCUCCUCCCCGAGUCAAAUGAACCCCCUUACCUGAAUAUCUGGUGCGGACUUGGUUUUAGAGUCCAACAUAUUUUAAAAGGGAAAGAUUAUUUUAAGAAAAACGGUGACCUGGCUCACCGAAACCAAUGUCAGUUGGCGACUCUGAGUUAAUCCUUUUGAAAUACAAUUUUUGUCACUUUUCAAAAUUAAAAACCCUUUUCAAGCUUUUAUUAAAUUAUUUUAUUUAUUUAAGAGGGUUUAGUGAGGUUUGUAUAAAAAGGGGUGUGACAUCUCUGGCGACUCUGUUGGGAGACUCGCGGGUUCGAGCUAGUACUCGAUUUUGUUGGCAUUAGAAUAUUCAGUUGAGUUUUUUUAAUGUUUUUAUUUAUUUAUUUAGCUUUGCUCAAUUUUUAUUAUGUUUUAUAUUUAGUUACUUGCUAGUUGUUUAUGUGUUUACUGAUUUAUAACUGUCAUCAUAUGCAUUACUCGGUCAAUUCUUUCUGCAACAAGUCUCGGAGCACGCGUCGCGUGCACGAUCUCUUUGUUGAGUCACCCUUAAUUUAGGAGGGGGACCGUCGGACGUAUGGAGUGGGUGGAAAGCUUGAGCAGCCACUAUCGACCAUACGCUCCCACGAAUUUCCUUGUUAGUGAAUCCCAAACUUAGUUCAGCCUUAGGUCAUUUUUAUUUGCAUAAAACAUUUACACCUAGUAAGGCUCGGUGCCAGGUACUGUGUCCCUUUGUAAGGAGCCUGUCAAAAUUUUGCCAAAAUGGGCCCGUGGCCCAAAAUGACAUUUAAUCAUCCUAUGUGCAAAAUAUUACAUCUUUGAGGGUAAAAAGGUCAUUUGGCGGACCAAUGUUUGAAAAGAAGGGUGAAAAAUGAAUAAAGUAGAGCCCACCCGUAUUUUUCUUUGAUGGUUUUCCUUAGAAAAUGAAAAAUCCAAAAAGAUUUUACACUUUUCCAUCAUUUUUCAAAAAUUCAAAAGUAGAAAUAAAAAAUCCAAAAAGAUUUUACACUUUUCCAUCAUUUUCAAAAAUUCAAAAAGUAGAAAAUGAAAAAUCCAAAAAGAUUUUACACUUUUCCAUUAUUUUUCAAAAAAGUUAAAAAGUAGAAAAUAAAAAAUCCAAAAAGAUUUUACACUUUUCCAUCAUUUUUCAAAAAUUCAAAAAGUAGAAAAUGAAAACCCAAAAAGAUUUUAUACUUUUCCAUUAUUUUCCAAAACUCAAAAAGUAGAAAUAAAAAAAAAACCAAAAAUUUUUGCACUUUCCAUCAUUUUUCAAAAAUGACCAAAAAUAGUUUUUAUUUUAAAUUCGAUGCAUUUUUUUUCCUUUAUCCUAUAUUUAAUCCUCUCGAACUACGCGAACCUGAUUCUCAUCUUUCGAAGCGAGAUACGUAGGCAACCCACAUAGGGUCCGGUAUUCCUAGUCUUUGGUUCUUGGCUUUGCGGGGUCCUACCAAAUAUUGCAUGUCUAGCCACUUUUGACCACAUCGGCUAUUCUUGCAAAAUGGGGUUAUUUUCGCAGAAGUGGUUCAAUAACCCAUGUCUUAGGAUUUUGAGUCCACAACUAGGUGUCAUAUUACUUUAAGGACCGUCUUUUUUGAGUCAGCAUCUUUAGCCACUUUUGGCCAUAUCGGUCGUUUUUGCUAAAUGGGUUAUUUCUGCAAAUUAAUUUUUGGGCUCCAUGAUAUUGGGAGUAUGAAUCCAUUAAUGUCUUAGUGAGUCAUUUUCCAUGUCCAUGAGGUCAAUUGUGUUGAGUUUGCGUUAAUAGCCAUUCUUGGUCAUAUAGGUUAAUUUAAAAAAUAGCCCAAUUUGGUCAUGCAUGUGUCUAAUAUGAGGUGUGGUUGCAUAGUAUCUUGAGUCAGUGAUCUAUUUCGGCUUAUUUUUCUCAUUCAGGUACGGAUUCAUUACCAGAGCUCGAGCAUGAUAAAUACCUCAGGAUUACUGCAUUUAGGAGCCGCUAAUAGAUAUUUUAUGUUUUGAGUCUGUCAUAUUGUCUUUUACUUUCUAGUCUUGUACAUUAAUAUUGAGUCUUUUGUUAUGUUGCUUCCCAUUUUGUGUUUGAAAAACUAAAAUAAAAAUAAUAAAUGGAAAAUUCAAAAUGAUUUUUAUUUUAAAUUUAUUUAUUCAUCAAUUUUUCUAGAACUACGCUUGAUUUGAUGCAUGAGGGACAUGAUACGUAUGCAACCUAUAUAGGUUCGAUCGAAUCAUAUAAUUUUUUUUAAAAAAUAAUAAAAAUAAAUAGGAAAAAAAGAAAAAGAGAUGGAAAUUGUGGAUGUGAGAAAUGAAAGGAAAGAAAAGAGGGGGAACAAAUGAAAACCAAGCAGUGCUAGAAAAGAAAGAAAAAAGAAGGUUGAAGUGAAUAAAAUGGGGAUGAUGCCAAAUGAUCUUGUGACCCUCGAAGCCAUUCUAGAACCGUUAAUUGUUGCUAGGGGCAUUGCACGCAAUGUGAUAUUUUAAGCUGAUAAAUGCUCUAACACUAACCUAUUGGCUUUGUUUUGCUCCUCUUUAUUACUUUCAGUACUCCAGAGGGUGGUUAGUUUGUGGCAUUUUGGUGAUUUUUCCGUACAACACAAGGUCAAAAAGCAAGGAAACCAUGGCUAGAAAAGACCUGGAUACAAGAGUUGUCGACCCCUCGAGGGAGAUUGUGGGGUCGGAAUCUGAAUUGAAGGAGGAGGUCCAAAGGUUGAAACAA
Molecule: long non-coding RNA, 4080 nt
Filed under: Nicotiana benthamiana
Lineage: Eukaryota; Viridiplantae; Streptophyta; Magnoliopsida; Solanales; Solanaceae
Description: long non-coding RNA (NBEN_LNC013984)
Source: RNAcentral